GAUCAUGGCUCAGGACGAACGCUGGCGGCGUGCCUAACACAUGCAAGUCGAACGGAAGUUAGAGCUUCGGUUUUAACUUUAGUGGCGAACGGGUGAGUAACGCGUGAGGAACCUGCCUUUCAGUGGGGGACAACAGUUGGAAACGACUGCUAAUACCGCAUGACACUUUUGAGGGACAUCCCUUAAAAGUCAAAGCUUUAUGUGCUGAAAGAUGGCCUCGCGUCUGAUUAGCUAGUUGGUGAGGUAACGG
This 250-nucleotide ribosomal RNA is filed under the name uncultured bacterium. RNAcentral describes it as "partial 16S ribosomal RNA". It matches the Rfam family "Bacterial small subunit ribosomal RNA", at positions 15 to 263 of the family's 1533-position model. The record is from RNAcentral.